RNAcentral lists this ribosomal RNA (484 nucleotides) under uncultured bacterium. RNAcentral's name for it is "partial 16S ribosomal RNA". It matches the Rfam family "Bacterial small subunit ribosomal RNA", at positions 30 to 507 of the family's 1533-position model. The record is from RNAcentral.
AUUGAACGCUGGCGGCAGGCCUAACACAUGCAAGUCGAGCGGAUGAAGGGAGCUUGCUCCUGGAUUCAGCGGCGGACGGGUGAGUAAUGCCUAGGAAUCUGCCUGGUAGUUGGGGAUAACGUCCGGAAACGGGCGCUAAUACCGCAUACGUCCUGAUGGAGAAAGUGGGGGAUCUUCGGACCUCACGCUAUCAGAUGAGCCUAGGUCGGAUUAGCUAGUUGGUUGGGUAAGGGCCUACCAAGGCGACGAUCCGUAACUGGUCUGAGAGGAUGAUCAGUCACACUGGAACUGAGACACGGUCCAGACUCCUACGGGAGGCAGCAGUGGGGAAUAUUGGACAAUGGGCGAAAGCCUGAUCCAGCCAUGCCGCGUGAGUGAAGAGGGUCUUCGGAUUGUAAAACACUUUAAGUUGGGAGGAAGGGCAGUAAGUUAAUACCUUGCUGUUUUGACGUUACCAACAGAAAAAGCACCGGCUAACUUCGUG